RNAcentral lists this ribosomal RNA (450 nucleotides) under uncultured bacterium. RNAcentral describes it as "partial 16S ribosomal RNA". It matches the Rfam family "Bacterial small subunit ribosomal RNA", at positions 354 to 796 of the family's 1533-position model. The record is from RNAcentral.
GUGGGGAAUAUUGGACAAUGGGCGAAAGCCUGAUCCAGCCAUGCCGCGUGUGUGAAGAAGGUCUUCGGAUUGUAAAGCACUUUAAGUUGGGAGGAAGGGCAUUAACCUAAUACGUUAGUGUUUUGACGUUACCGACAGAAUAAGCACCGGCUAACUUCGUGCCAGCAGCCGCGGUAAUACGAAGGGUGCAAGCGUUAAUCGGAAUUACUGGGCGUAAAGCGCGCGUAGGUGGUUCGUUAAGUUGGAUGUGAAAGCCCCGGGCUCAACCUGGGAACUGCAUCAAAAACUGGCGAGCUAGAGUACGGUAGAGGGUGGUGGAAUUUCCUGUGUAGCGGUGAAAUGCGUAGAUAUAGGAAGGAACACCAGUGGCGAAGGCGACCACCUGGACUGAUACUGACACUGAGGUGCGAAAGCGUGGGGAGCAAACAGGAUUAGAUACCCCUGUAGUCC